Molecule: ribosomal RNA, 449 nt
Filed under: uncultured bacterium
Lineage: Bacteria
Description: bacterial SSU rRNA
Rfam family: Bacterial small subunit ribosomal RNA
Source: RNAcentral
GACGAACGCUGGCGGCGCGCCUAACACAUGCAAGUCGAACGAGCGAGAGAGAGCUUGCUUUCUCGAGCGAGUGGCGAACGGGUGAGUAACGCGUGAGGAACCUGCCUCAAAGAGGGGGACAACAGUUGGAAACGACUGCUAAUACCGCAUAAGCCCACGGGUCGGCAUCGACCAGAGGGAAAAGGAGUAAUCCGCUUUGAGAUGGCCUCGCGUCCGAUUAGCUAGUUGGUGAGGUAACGGCCCACCAAGGCAACGAUCGGUAGCCGGACUGAGAGGUUGAACGGCCACAUUGGGACUGAGACACGGCCCAGACUCCUACGGGAGGCAGCAGUGGGGAAUAUUGCACAAUGGGGGAAACCCUGAUGCAGCGACGCCGCGUGGAGGAAGAAGGUCUUCGGAUUGUAAACUCCUGUUGUUGAGGAAGAUAAUGACGGUACUCAACAAGGAAG